CUGUUACCUUGGAGACAGGAGACCUGGUUAGCUACCGCGAUCUUGCAGUGAUGUCGCCACAGCAACGAGAUGUGGCGAAGCCAGUAAAUAUCCUAAAAGACUUGGGCUCAAAAAGGCUGGGAGCUGACAGUUCCUUAGAAGAACCCAAUAGUGGCAAAUCAGCUUGUGAUUAUGACAUUUGAGGCGCAGGGGUGGGGGAAACCAACGGACCGUGGGGGUUCUUUUUGUUUUGUUUUUUCCUGCUGCAGGGUUUCCAACUUGGGAUUUUCUCUAGGGAUGAGGUAGGAAAGAAACAAGUCACAGGUCAGAGGUUGAGGGAAUGAACGUGGACUAAAUGGGUUGGGUGUCUGAGAUUUGGGUAGGUGUCCCUCAGCGUUCCCAUUUAUGUAACCGUUAGUGGUGAAGUCCUUGAAGGUACUGAUUGGGUGGAGUGGUUCCACCUCUGGCCACUAGAGGGCAGUAGAGCCCAGUCUCCGAGAGAAGAGCCGGGCUCGAAAGCUCAAAGAGGAUGUGGACACACAAGAUCAGAGGAGCAACCAGGAAAAUAAAUUGCAUGAGGCCAGGGCUUGAGAGAUCCUUUUAUUGGACAUGAGCUAGAAAGUAUCUGAGAGAAGCCUGACAGUGGUGGCACACGCCUUUGAUCCCAGAACUUGGGAGGCAGAGUCAGCUGCUUCUGGAACUGAGAGGGAAACCAGCUCAGGAAGACUUCAAGGCUCCCUCCUUACCUUUCUUUGCUCUGGCUUCCUGAACCCUCGCUGCUACAUCUUCUGCUGCUACUGUGACCACUCAGAAGACUGAUUUCCAGGAGAGUUCCUAGCCUCAUCCUGUGCCAGCCAGGGCCUAUUCCAGCCGCCUUCUGAAAGUGUUAGCCCAUCCAUAAACACAGGGUAAAAUAAUAAAGGCUUUUGUCUCUCAA
Peromyscus maniculatus bairdii (prairie deer mouse) is the source of this 916-nucleotide non-coding RNA. NCBI's taxonomy places the organism in Eukaryota, Metazoa, Chordata, Mammalia, Rodentia, Cricetidae. The record is from RefSeq and is a predicted model, not a curated record.